GAAAUGCGAUAAGUAAUGUGAAUUGCAGAAUUCAGUGAAUCAUCGAAUCUUUGAACGCAUAUUGCGCCCGCCAGUAUUCUGGCGGGCAUGCCUGUUCGAGCGUCAUUUCAACCAUCAAGCCCCGGGCUUGUGUUGGGGACCUGCGGCUGCCGCAGGCCCUGAAAACCAGUGGCGGGCUCGCUGUCACACCGAGCGUAGUAGAUUCUCAUCUCGCUCAGGGCGUGCUGCGGGUUCCGGCCGUAAAACAGCCUUAUUUUACCCAAGGUUGACCUCGGAUCAGGUAGGAAGACCCGCUGAACUUAAGC
This 305-nucleotide unclassified non-coding RNA is filed under the name plant metagenome. RNAcentral's name for it is "partial contains 5.8S ribosomal RNA, internal transcribed spacer 2, and large subunit ribosomal RNA". The stretch from base 1 to 105 matches the Rfam family "5.8S ribosomal RNA", at positions 50 to 154 of the family's 154-position model. The record is from RNAcentral.